CUCUUGGGGUUUGACUUGAAAGACUUCCAUAGGGAUAAAAAUGUGAUGCUUGAGAAACUUGUCUAAACCAAAUAUGGAUUUCCUCUAAGUGCAGGAAGUUGUGGGAUGCAGGAGGAGGAGGAGCAGGAAUUUCUGAGACACAGCUAAACAGGAGAUCACCUCUGAGUCCAAUUACAUUAGCGCAGAGCUGAUAGUUGCUUAAUCCGGAGACCCUGAGGCAUGUCAGUGAUUUCAGAUGUCUUUCAGCACACAUGGAUUACAUUGUGGAAUUUCGGACUGUUAAGGAAACUCACAAGCCUAUGGAAUCAUAAAAGAAAAGACCUGUGGGAGGAAAGUUAAGAAUUCUGCUUCCAAGCAGACAUUAUUGCCAGAAGAAGUAUUUGAAGUGCUUUGGAAGUCAUUUUAAUUUUAAAAUGCUUGCAAAAUUAAGAGGCAUACAUCCAAGUUGUCAGUAAGAGGACUAUUAAUGAAUAACUAACAAUGAGGUGUUUUUUUAUGAAGACCCUUCUUGAAAAAGACGAUUGACAUGUUUUGAAACCUUUAGGAACUGCUUGCCAACAGAGACAAAAAUGGAAUGUAGUUAUAUUGCUGAGAAGAAAUGCAUAUACAUUUGGCAGCAUCUUGAAACCCGUGAGAAAAUGGUUGUUAUUUUAAAAUGGAAAUAAGAUGCAAACAUUCCAGAAUGGUACACCUGCUUCAGCAAAGCUACUUUGGUGUGUGUAUGUGAGUGUGUAUGUGUGUAUGUGCAUGUAUGUGUGUAUGUAUGUGCCAUAGAUGCAUUUGACUUUAGUCUAAUUCUUUUCUAAUUGAAAUAUGUUCUGUGGACUAGUACCCUUGAGAUCACCUGGAAGCUUGUUAGAAAUGAAGAAUUUCAGGUCCAGCCAAGACUCACUGAAUCAGAAUCUUCAUUUUGUCAGGAUCCUCAGAUGAUUCAUAUGCCCAUUAAGACUUGAGAAGUACUAUCUAAAUCACUUUGUUUUUAGAGACAAAGAGAUACAAUCUAUUACACACAUGCCCAUUAAAUCGACUAUUGGAAAAGUUCAUCUACCUAGUAACAUGGAGAGAACUGAAGACAAUAGAGGAGUGGAUCUCAUCUGAAGAAACCACUUUCUUUGCUCAUCCACAAGAAGCAACUCAUCUGUUUAAGUUCGAUCAUGAGAUUGAAGAAAUUCAGUUACAUCUUCUGGCUUCACUUCCAAUUUUAGUUCUCUUGCUUUUUCUACCACAGCUGCAGUUACAUCCUCUACUGAGGUCUUGAUUUCCUCAAAGUCAUCUGUAAGGAUUAGAACCAACUCAUUCCAAUUCCUGUUAAUGUGACUGUUUGAACUCAUCCCAUGAAUCAUAAGUGUUCUUAAUGGCAUCUGGAAUGAUAAAUCCUUUCCAGAAGGUUUUUAAUUUACUUUGUCCAGAUCCACUAGAGGAUUCACUAUCUACAGCAGCUAUAGCCUUACAAAAUGUAUUUCUUGAAUAAUAAGAUGUGAAAGUAAAAAUUACUUCUUGACCUGUGGGCUGCAGAAUGGAUAUUGUGUUAGUGGGCAUGAAAGCAACAUGAAUCCACUUGUGCAUCUUCAUCAGAGCUCUUGGGUAACUAGAUGCAUUGUCAAUGAGGAGCAAUAUUUUGAAGGAAAUCUUUUUUUCUGAGCAGUAGAUCCCAAUAGUGGGCUUAAAAUAUUCA
Molecule: long non-coding RNA, 1675 nt
Organism: Callithrix jacchus (white-tufted-ear marmoset)
Lineage: Eukaryota; Metazoa; Chordata; Mammalia; Primates; Cebidae
Source: Ensembl